AUUGAACGCUGGCGGUAUGCUUAACACAUGCAAGUCGAACGGUAGCAGGCCUUCGGGCGCUGACGAGUGGCGGACGGGUGAGUAACGCGUAGGAAUCUGCCUCAUAGUGGGGGACAACGUGGGGAAACUCACGCUAAUACCGCAUACGCCCUACGGGGGAAAGCGGGGGAUCUUCGGACCUCGCGCUAACAGAUGAGCCUGCGUUGGAUUAGCUAGUUGGUAGGGUAAUGGCCUACCAAGGCGAUGAUGGGUAGCCGGCCUGAGAGGGUGAACGGCCACACUGGAACUGAGACACGGUCCAGACUCCUACGGGUGGCUG
Molecule: ribosomal RNA, 319 nt
Filed under: uncultured Pseudomonadota bacterium
Lineage: Bacteria; Pseudomonadati; Pseudomonadota
Description: bacterial SSU rRNA
Rfam family: Bacterial small subunit ribosomal RNA
Source: RNAcentral